Molecule: non-coding RNA, 876 nt
Organism: Macaca mulatta (Rhesus monkey)
Lineage: Eukaryota; Metazoa; Chordata; Mammalia; Primates; Cercopithecidae
Source: RefSeq, a predicted model, not a curated record
CAGAUGGAGAAAGUGAGCUCAAAGAAACAACAUUCCCAAGGUCAUAAUGGUAUUACGGUUAGAAUUCCACUCAGUCUGUGACAUAUUUUUCCAGCUCAUAAGAAGGAACUGGACACAAAGGUAGCAGGGAGAAGAGGUCAGUUCUUUCUCUCUGCGUGGAACGGGCAGUGGCUAUCACGGAGCAACAGUUCAUUGGGAAAGGAAAGGGGAGGGAGGAGGCUCAGGGAUGGUCCUAUAUCAGCCUGUGCCUUGUAGGGGUUCAACCAUGCAACCCCAACCGCGUUCCUUUGCUUUUAAGUCGAACCAGUAGAGCGUUUUGUUUCAAACUACGUACAUCCUUUGUCCUUUACAAUAUCCCGUGCUAGAACCCCUUAAAAAUCAGUUAUUUAGAUGAGAAAGUCGAGCCCUGUACCUGGAGAGGCCAGUUCUGUAUAGCGGAAAAAAUGAAACUGGGGACAGGCUGACCAGAUAUCAGAGGCCCCAGGGCUGGUGAUGAACUCCUGUUUGCCAAACCUAACACCUCACCCUCCGGCCAACCCCCACGCCCUCUCAAGCUUGGAUGCUGUUCCCAUCCGACCACUGCCUUUGGCUCACACCAGAGUUCUGCAGAGAUGUCACCGCGAGGACACCCAAACAGGCUGCAGGGAAAAGAAAACUGUGAAUUCAGGCAGGCUAGGGCAAACUCAUCAUCAGGAAAAGAGCUGCAGAUUGCAAAUUAAACCAAAUGAUGCCCAGAGAUCACAGAAUUUUAAAUGGAAACCUAUGGGGAAAGAUUCAAAGAUUUCAUGUAAACAAAUUUUCUUGGUAAAUAAAGUUCCAUUUGUUUCCAUAACCACUCCCUCCCCAGUAAAUGAAUAAUAAAAUGUCUAAAGUUUA